GAUGAACGCUAGCGGCAGGCUUAAUACAUGCAAGUCGAGGGGCAGCACAGGUAGCAAUACUGGGUGGCGACCGGCAAACGGGUGCGGAACACGUACGCAACCUUCCCUGAACAGGUGAAUAGCCCUGCGAAAGUAGGAUUAAUACACCGUAUGAUAUAGUGGUGGCAUCACGAUUAUAUUAAAGGUAGCGAUACCGGUUUAGGAUGGGCGUGCGCCUGAUUAGGAGUUGGUGCGGGUAAUGGCCCACCAAGCCUUCGAUCAGUAACUGGUGUGAGAGCACGACCAGUCACACGGGCACUGAGACACGGGCCCGACUCCUACGGGAGGCAGCAGUAAGGAAUAUUGGUCAAUGGAC
RNAcentral lists this ribosomal RNA (355 nucleotides) under uncultured bacterium. Its description in RNAcentral is "bacterial SSU rRNA". It matches the Rfam family "Bacterial small subunit ribosomal RNA", at positions 28 to 376 of the family's 1533-position model. The record is from RNAcentral.